AUGGAGGAUAGGAGCUCAUUGAGACUUGGAAAGCUUGUGAUAGCCUCGAAUCAACAGAGAAAGACUGACCUUCCAGUGGAUAAAUGCUUCAAAAUGUCAUCUUUCUGGAUUUCCACAGCUGACCAAGAAGUCGAGAUUAGGCAGGCAAAUCACCGUGAUACUACAACAGCUAUAAAGUAUUUCGGAGCAGGAACCAAGCUGGUGAUUUACGAGGGUGCCACAAAAGUACCCAAACCAAUCAUGUUUCGUCCUCCAUCUGAGCUGAAAAAAAGGAAUGAAGGAAUAUACAUUUGCCUCCUCGAGGAUUUUUACCCUGAGUUCGUCACAAUGACAUGGCAGGAACAGGGGAGCACUACUGCUCUGCCCUCGUACCAGAGUGCCAUAGAAAAGAUGAAUGAAGACAAAAAAACAUUUUGGGCGUUCAGCUGGCUGCUUGUUAAUAAAACAACGCAGGACAAGGUGUAUGAAUUCGUAUUCAGUCAUGAGCCAAGUAAAGAGAAAAAUAUUGUAGAAUUUCCAGAAGCCGACUCAGCUCUUCACCCCACCACUACCCCUACAGGAAAAAUUCCUUGCACCGUCGGCCCAGAUCACCAUCCCGGGGUCAAGCAAGACGUGCAGUUCAUGAACACGUCCGCCUAUUACACCUACACCAUCCUGCUGCUCAAGAGCACCAUGUAUUGUGUCAUCAUGCUGUUCUUCGUGUACAAAAGGACCACGACCAGCGGCAAGGGGAGAUGAUCAGCCCGUUGACAUCUCCAGAGAAACGUGUGGCAGCCAACGGGAUUUUCCGGGACCAUGCGCCAGGCUUCUCUCCGGACCUGCACGCGAGAAGCAGAGCGGCACAUGGAAGUUGAUAUGUGUUAUUUCUGUCACAAUUACAAGCGUUUCUUUGUAAUCACCGGGCAGAAGUUCAUUUUAUCAUUUCAUUUUUAAACUGUAACAAACCCUCUUUCAUUGAUGUGUUCUUUUUAUUCUAUUUUCUGGGAUUAUUUUAAACGUCUCACGUAUUCUCUGCAUCAAUCUAUCUGGUCACAUAAAUAAAAGCCCCACACCUACCUGCGAUGUGUGUUAUUUCUGUCGCAAUUACAAGCGUUUCUUCUUUGUAAUCACCGGGCAGAAGUUCAUUUUAUAAUUUCAUUUUUAAACUGUAAGAAACCCUCUUUCAUUGAUGUGUUCUUUUUAUUCUAUUUUCUGGGAUUAUUUUAAACGUCUCAAUUUAUUCUCUGCAUCAAUCUAUCUGGUCACAUAAAUAAAAGCCCCACACCUACCUGCGAUGUGUGUUAUUUCUGUCGCAAUUACAAGCGUUUCUUCUUUGUAAUCACCGGGCAGAAGUUCAUUUUAUAAUUUCAGUUUUAAACUGUAACAAACCCUCUUUCAUUGAUGUGUUCUUUUUAUUCUAUUUCCUGGGAUUAUUUUAAACUUCUCACGUAUUCUCUGCAUCAAUCUAUCUGGUCACAUAAAUAAAAGCCCCACACCCACCUGCGAUGAAAAGUUGUUCUUUCGCUUGCUUCCACUACUUGUAAAUAAUUCAUGUCUGUUUGUCUUCCCCAUUAGAUUGCAAGUUCUUUCCCCACGUAGGCUGGGAGCUUCAUAAUGGGCAGGAACUGUUGUAUUUACCUCAGCACUUAGUACAGUGCUUGGCA
This is a non-coding RNA of Tachyglossus aculeatus (Australian echidna), 1643 nucleotides long. NCBI's taxonomy places the organism in Eukaryota, Metazoa, Chordata, Mammalia, Monotremata, Tachyglossidae. The record is from the annotation of a RefSeq genome assembly.